RNAcentral lists this ribosomal RNA (440 nucleotides) under uncultured bacterium. RNAcentral's name for it is "partial 16S ribosomal RNA". It matches the Rfam family "Bacterial small subunit ribosomal RNA", at positions 338 to 795 of the family's 1533-position model. The record is from RNAcentral.
CCUACGGGUGACAGCAGUGGGGGAUAUUGCACAAUGGGGGAAACCCUGAUGCAGCGAAGCCGCGUGGGUGAAGAAGGGCCUAGGCGCGUAAAGCCCUGUCAGCAGGGAAGAAAAUGACGGUACGUGAAGAAGAAGCCCCGGCUAACUACGUGCCAGCAACCGCGGUAAUAGGGAGGUGGGAAGCGUUGUCCGGAUUUAUUGGGUGUAAAGGGAGUGUAGCCGGGUUGACAAGUCAGAUGUGAAAUCCUGCGGCUUAACCGCAGAACUGCAGUUGAAACUGUUGAUCUUGAGUACUGGAGAGGCAGACGGAAUGCCUAGUGUAGCGGUGAAAUGCGUAGAUAUUAGGAGGAACACCAGUGGCGAAGGCAGUCUGCUGGACAUCAACUGACGGUGAGGCGCGAAAGCGUGGGGAGCAAACAGGAUUAGAUACCCUUGUAGUC